RNAcentral lists this ribosomal RNA (1202 nucleotides) under Candidatus Phytoplasma pruni -related phytoplasma. RNAcentral describes it as "bacterial SSU rRNA". It matches the Rfam family "Bacterial small subunit ribosomal RNA", at positions 173 to 1374 of the family's 1533-position model. The record is from RNAcentral. Lineage: Bacteria; Bacillati; Mycoplasmatota; Mollicutes; Acholeplasmatales; Acholeplasmataceae.
AUAGGAAAAGUAAAGGCAUCUUUGCUUUUUUAAAAGAUCUUCUUUGAAGGUAUGCUUAAGGAGGGGCUUGCGACACAUUAGUUAGUUGGCAGGGUAAAGGCCUACCAAGACUAUGAUGUGUAGCUGGACUGAGAGGUUGAACAGCCACAUUGGGACUGAGACACGGCCCAAACUCCUACGGGAGGCAGCAGUAGGGAAUUUUCGGCAAUGGAGGAAACUCUGACCGAGCAACGCCGCGUGAACGAUGAAGUACCUCGGUAUGUAAAGUUCUUUUAUUAAGGAAGAAAAAAGAGUGGAAAAACUCCCUUGACGGUACUUAAUGAAUAAGCCCCGGCUAAUUAUGUGCCAGCAGCCGCGGUAAUACAUAAGGGGCGAGCGUUAUCCGGAAUUAUUGGGCGUAAAGGGUGCGUAGGCGGUUUAAUAAGUCUAUAGUUUAAUUUCAGUGCUUAACGCUGUUGUGCUAUAGAAACUGUUUUACUAGAGUGAGAUAGAGGCAAGCGGAAUUCCAUGUGUAGCGGUAAAAUGCGUAAAUAUAUGGAGGAACACCAGAGGCGUAGGCGGCUUGCUGGGUCUUUACUGACGCUGAGGCACGAAAGCGUGGGGAGCAAACAGGAUUAGAUACCCUGGUAGUCCACGCCGUAAACGAUGAGUACUAAGUGUCGGGUAAAACUGGUACUGAAGUUAACACAUUAAGUACUCCGCCUGAGUAGUACGUACGCAAGUAUGAAACUUAAAGGAAUUGACGGGACUCCGCACAAGCGGUGGAUCAUGUUGUUUAAUUCGAAGAUACACGAAAAACCUUACCAGGUCUUGACAUUUUCUUGCGAAAUUAUAGAAAUAUAAUGGAGGUUAUCAGGAAAACAGGUGGUGCAUGAUUGUCGUCAGCUCGUGUCGUGAGAUGUUAGGUUAAGUCCUAAAACGAGCGCAACCCUUGUCGUUAAUUGCCAGCAUGUAAUGAUGGGGACUUUAACGAGACUGCCAAUGAAAAAUUGGAGGAAGGUGGGGAUUACGUCAAAUCAUCAUGCCCCUUAUGAUCUGGGCUACAAACGUGAUACAAUGGUUGAUACAAAGAGUAGCUGAAACGCGAGUUCUUAGCCAAUCUCAAAAAAUCAAUCUCAGUUCGGAUUGAAGUCUGCAACUCGACUUCAUGAAGUUGGAAUCGCUAGUAAUCGCGAAUCAGCAUGUCGCGGUGAAUACGUUGG